RNAcentral lists this unclassified non-coding RNA (409 nucleotides) under fungal sp. RNAcentral's name for it is "partial internal transcribed spacer region". The stretch from base 1 to 46 matches the Rfam family "Eukaryotic small subunit ribosomal RNA", at positions 1786 to 1831 of the family's 1831-position model. The record is from RNAcentral. RNAcentral also lists the same sequence under 1 other name. Lineage: Eukaryota; Fungi.
AAGUCGUAACAAGGUUUCCGUAGGUGAACCUGCGGAAGGAUCAUUAACACGUUAUCCAACGUAUCAAAUCAUAUGAGAACUUAUUCCCUAAGACAUAACUGAGGUUGGCAAUCAGGUCAGAUUGAGUCGUUCUUCGGAACGUCGUCCUGAGAUGCAUAAGGGUUAGAUACCCUGAGACCACGACCAUGCGCUUAGGCUUUCACUAUUUCUUCAUACCUAUCAAUUUGGGUAUGUUGGGAUGACACUAUACAAUUUCACGAUAUUAAACCCAUUUGACUAAUUAUUACUGUUGUAUCUGGGAACUAGAGCAAACUAUUACUUCGGUAAUACAUGAGUUCGACUUUUUGGACAAUGGUACCAAGUUUAUUUAAACUAAGCACAACUCUUAGCAAUGGAUAUCUUGGUUCUC